UUUAUAUGAGAGUUUGAUCCUGGCUCAGGAUGAACGCCGGCGGUGUGCCUAAUACAUGCAAGUCGUACGCACUGGCCCAACUGAUUGAUGGUGCUUGCACCUAAUUGACGAUGGAUCACCAGUGAGUGGCGGACGGGUGAGUAACACGUAGGUAACCUGCCCCGGAGCGGGGGAUAACAUUUGGAAACAGAUGCUAAUACCGCAUAACAACAAAAGCCACAUGGCUUUUGUUUGAAAGAUGGCUUUGGCUAUCACUCCGGGAUGGACCUGCGGUGCAUUAGCUAGUUGGUAAGGUAACGGCUUACCAAGGCGAUGAUGCAUAGCCGAGUUGAGAGACUGAUCGGCCACAAUGGAACUGAGACACGGUCCAUACUCCUACGGGAGG
Molecule: ribosomal RNA, 385 nt
Filed under: Limosilactobacillus reuteri
Lineage: Bacteria; Bacillati; Bacillota; Bacilli; Lactobacillales; Lactobacillaceae
Description: bacterial SSU rRNA
Rfam family: Bacterial small subunit ribosomal RNA
Source: RNAcentral